RNAcentral lists this ribosomal RNA (497 nucleotides) under uncultured bacterium. RNAcentral describes it as "partial 16S ribosomal RNA". It matches the Rfam family "Bacterial small subunit ribosomal RNA", at positions 28 to 507 of the family's 1533-position model. The record is from RNAcentral.
GAUGAACGCUGGCGGCGUGCCUAAUACAUGCAAGUCGAGCGAACAGACGAGGAGCUUGCUCCUCUGACGUUAGCGGCGGACGGGUGAGUAAAACGUGGAUAACCUACCUAUAAGACUGGGAUAACUUCGGGAAACCGGAGCUAAUACCGGAUAAUAUAUUGAACCGCAUGGUUCAAUAGUGAAAGACGGUUUUGCUGUCACUUAUAGAUGGAUCCGCGCCGCAGUAGCUAGUUGGUAAGGUAACGGCUUACCAAGGCAACGAUGCGUAGCCGACCUGAGAGGGUGAUCGGCCACACUGGAACUGAGACACGGUCCAGACUCCUACGGGAGGCAGCAGUAGGGAAUCUUCCGCAAUGGGCGAAAGCCUGACGGAGCAACGCCGCGUGAGUGAUGAAGGUCUUCGGAUCGUAAAACUCUGUUAUUAGGGAAGAACAAAUGUGUAAGUAACUAUGCACGUCUUGACGGUACCUAAUCAGAAAGCCACGGCUAACUACGUG